Molecule: long non-coding RNA, 827 nt
Filed under: Homo sapiens (human)
Lineage: Eukaryota; Metazoa; Chordata; Mammalia; Primates; Hominidae
Description: HSALNT0040391
Source: RNAcentral
CUUUUUUGCUGCAAUACCACAGUCUCAAAAUAUGGUGCAGUGAGUGGUUUCAUCAAACUCUACUCUACUCUUCUGGAAGCUACAGAAAAAGGAAGCCCAGAAACUUGGCAAUCUGGCAAAAGGGUAAAAAGGAAAAACGAAUGGAGAGGAAAAGGACAGUCAGUUGGUCUCAUGCGUUGGAUCUUGUUUGAAAAGCUGAGUCCCAUCUAUAUCAGAGAAACAAUUGGAGACGCUGAUUAUUUUACCAAGGCUUUGACGGGUAUGACAUGUUUUCAGACUGCUUUGAAGAAUUGUUGAACGACAGAGCCAACAAAAGUUCCUUGGGAAAAUUGGUCUCAUACCUUGUCCUUUACAAGUUUCCUAACCUGUAGUAAGUAAAGAAUGUCAGUUUCCGACAGGCCCAGGAACCCCAAGUUAUUUUGGAAACAUCGAGCUGGAAGGAAUUCACUCAAUUCAUACAAGCAUCUGCAGGCACAAAUAAAUCCUGGGCUGGGCUCAAGAGGCUUUUAAAAGGUCUAAUCUGAGAUUCCUUAUUAAAAAGUCCCAGAAAAGCCAAUUUAAAAAAAAAGGAUAUAUGGUAAUUAAUUAUUCUCACCUCAUUUUGUGUGUGUAAUUAGGCCAAGUAUAAUAAGACUAAAACUUAUUUUGCAAAUAAAUUAGUCUUACUAUGAUGUGUCUUUGAUAGAAAUAAAAAAGUGAAGAGAUAAACAUUAUUUCAGAAAAAUUAUAGUAUACCUGUUAUUAGAUUCCAUUCUUGUCCAUUAUUUUUGAGUCUCCGCUAACAACCCAAUAUCUGACUGGUUUUCACGGUCAUUCACCUGGAUCCC